Molecule: small RNA, 27 nt
Filed under: Bombyx mori (domestic silkworm)
Lineage: Eukaryota; Metazoa; Arthropoda; Insecta; Lepidoptera; Bombycidae
Description: ovarian small RNA-31298
Source: RNAcentral
UGACAACCCUAACAAGCCAUCCCUAUU